AUGCAACACAGGUACAUGUGGCCACUGGGUUCUCAUAGCCGUCUAAAGAGGUAGCCGUUAUUCUUAUUCUUGGUCCCUUUGCAGGUUAGAGAGCCAAGCAGUGAGCUUACAAGACUGCUUACCCGAGUCUCAUAAGCAGUAGAACUAGGCUGGAACCCAUGGACGCUGCACUACCAUCACACCACAGCUGGUUGUAUCCCAGUCACACACCCCCAGGAAAGAGCCUGGAGGGGUCUCAGGGGCCAAACCCAGCACCCAGAUCUUCAGUUGGCCAAGCAGGCACUUGCAGGGGUCAGAGGGGUGCGGAGGAACAGCACCAGGACCCUGAGGCGAUGAAUGCCUGUGGCUCAUAGCUGCUGAGCUCUUGGUCUUCCGUCACAGCCGCUGCAGGAAGAAACACAGCAAGCAAAGUCCCCUCCCCUACGGCCCACCCUACGUGCUCAGAACCCAGCCUGGGAAGAUGAACUUGCAUCUGGGCAGAGAAGUGAGUGGGGAAACCAAGAGGCCGUCUUCCAAGCCGGCUCUACAGCCCGGUCCAGCUCAACACUGCAGGGAGAGGGCAGCCGGGGAGGGUCUCUGGAGAUGCUAUCAGGACCCCACUCCAGGACCCAGAAACCAAAAACACCCAGGAAAAUGGAGAGGGUAAGUUCCUUCAAAAUCUGCUGCCUUGGACUUUGCUUUUGAAUAACCACUCUUUUCCAGUGUAGCACAGGAAAUACCAUCUCAUUCCCAGUACUGGCUACGUAGGUGCCUAUUGCAGGAUGCCUUAGAGACAGGAAAGUCUUGUGUUAGAGGGGGUGCUAGGAAUCAAAGAUGGUGUUGAAAUGCAAAAAUUGGUUUAACAUAUCCGAUGGCCUUCUGGCCAACAAGAGGGUAUAUCGAAUGAAACUUGGAGAGGAGGUAUUUUGCUCAGAGAAACUCUGAUUGAAUCAAGGUGACAUUGAGCUGCAAACAAAGGUGGGUAAGGGGCCCAACUCCCAGACCACACAGGAAAGGCAGCUGCCCAGGAGACGAUCAGGUGCCGGGCCAAACUAGGAAUGACAGGCAGGGAAUGUUCUGGAACUCCCAGGGAAGGGCAUGAUUAGGAAGAGGGCUUGAAAUGAUCUCACCCUCAGGUGCAUUCAUGCCCACACACGGAGCUGGCGAGCGAGUGGGAGGCUUGCAGAUGGGCACAAGGAUUGAAGGUGGGCUCAGGGGUCCCUGACCCUGCUGCCUGUGGCCAUGGCAGGGCUGAGAGUGCAGUGUGUGUGUUGUGGCUGUGCAAGGUGGCGCAGGAGAGGAAGGGAGGUCUUGCACCAGGGAGCUGCUGCAUGGUCCCAGAAGACUCCCCCAGCACGGGUCCAGCACCAGGUU
RNAcentral lists this long non-coding RNA (1353 nucleotides) under Oryctolagus cuniculus (rabbit). RNAcentral describes it as "lncRNA (ENSOCUG00000037350.1)". Lineage: Eukaryota; Metazoa; Chordata; Mammalia; Lagomorpha; Leporidae. The record is from RNAcentral.